GACGAACGCUGGCGGCGUGCUUAACACAUGCAAGUCGAGCGGUAAGGCCCUUCGGGGUACACGAGCGGCGAACGGGUGAGUAACACGUGGGUGACCUGCCUUUAGCUCUGGGAUAAGCCUGGGAAACUGGGUCUAAUACCGGAUAUGACCUCAUGACGCAUGUUGUGGGGUGGAAAGCCUUGUGCGGCUAGAGAUGGGCCCGCGGCCUAUCAACUUGUUGGUGGGGUGANGGCCUACCAAGGCGACGACGGGUAGCCGGCCUGAGAGGGCGACCGGCCACACUGGGACUGAGACACGGCCCAGACUCCUACGGGAGGCAGCAGUGGGAAAUCUUGCGCAAUGGGACGAAAGCCUGACGCAGCGACGCCGCGUGAGGGAUGAC
This 382-nucleotide ribosomal RNA is filed under the name uncultured bacterium. Its description in RNAcentral is "bacterial SSU rRNA". It matches the Rfam family "Bacterial small subunit ribosomal RNA", at positions 28 to 412 of the family's 1533-position model. The record is from RNAcentral.